This 494-nucleotide ribosomal RNA is filed under the name uncultured bacterium. RNAcentral's name for it is "partial 16S ribosomal RNA". It matches the Rfam family "Bacterial small subunit ribosomal RNA", at positions 28 to 507 of the family's 1533-position model. The record is from RNAcentral.
GACGAACGCUGGCGGCGUGCUUAACACAUGCAAGUCGAACGGAAAGGCCUGCUUUCCCUUGUGGAUUGCGGGUGCUCGAGUGGCGAACGGGUGAGUAACACGUGAGUGAUCUGCCCCCAACUUGGGUAUAAGCCUGGGAAACUGGGUCUAAUUCCCGAUAGGACUGCAGGGUGGUGCCUGUGGUGGAAAACGAUUUUCUAGUGGUUGGGGAUGAGCUCGCGGCCUAUCAGCUUGUUGGUGGGGUAAUGGCCCACCAAGGCGGCGACGGGUAGCCGGCCUGAGAGGGUGGACGGCCACAUUGGGACUGAGAUACGGCCCAGACUCCUACGGGAGGCAGCAGUGGGGAAUAUUGCACAAUGGGCGGAAGCCUGAUGCAGCGACGCCGCGUGGGGGAUGACGGCCUUCGGGUUGUAAACUCCUUUCGACCGCGAGGAAGCCACCUGGUUGGAAGGGUGGUGACGGUAGUGGUAGAAGAAGCACCGGCUAACUACGUG